UUUAACAAAUACUUUUCUUUCAUAUAAAAAGUUAAAAAUCCAUUUUAUGAGUAUUACAGGUAAGCCUAUCUUGAUCAGUUCUUCACAGAGAAUCUUAAGAUUAACAUUAUUAAAAGCACCUUCAAUAUCUAGGAAAACAGAAACGAGGGAUUGUUUUUGAAUAAUUGACUUUUGAAUAUCAAGUUGCAACAAGGCAAUACUUUCCUGAGCUGACUUCCCCUUUCGAAAUCCAUAUUGAUUAUGAGGUAAAUGAUAACUGCCCAAGGGAUCAUCGUGAACUGACCAAUCACAAGCUAAUGCGAGAGAUGGAGAAACUAAAGACAAAUCUAAAGCAUUCGGGCGCCAUGUUAGUGAACCAACUGUAGUUGGUUCCCCACUGUUCAAUAGUACCAAAUUAUUAUCAUCAAUAAUAUCAAGAAGAUUUCUGCCUCUGCAAUUUAUAUUAUAGCUACCCCAUGCUGUAUGAUUAGCAUUAAAAUCACCCCCAAGAAUAAAAGGCUUUGGAGUAUUUUUAAUUA
RNAcentral lists this unclassified non-coding RNA (518 nucleotides) under Melitaea cinxia (Glanville fritillary). Its description in RNAcentral is "misc RNA ENSMCXG00005008848.1". Lineage: Eukaryota; Metazoa; Arthropoda; Insecta; Lepidoptera; Nymphalidae. The record is from RNAcentral.